RNAcentral lists this ribosomal RNA (437 nucleotides) under uncultured Lachnospiraceae bacterium. RNAcentral's name for it is "bacterial SSU rRNA". It matches the Rfam family "Bacterial small subunit ribosomal RNA", at positions 341 to 792 of the family's 1533-position model. Lineage: Bacteria; Bacillati; Bacillota; Clostridia; Lachnospirales; Lachnospiraceae. The record is from RNAcentral.
ACGGAAGGCAGCAGUGGGGAAUAUUGGGCAAUGGGCGAAAGCCUGACCCAGCAACGCCGCGUGAAGGAAGAAGGUCUUCGGAUUGUAAACUUCUUUUAUAAGGGACGAAGAAAGUGACGGUACCUUAUGAAUAAGCCACGGCUAACUACGUGCCAGCAGCCGCGGUAAUACGUAGGGGGCAAGCGUUAUCCGGAUUUACUGGGUGUAAAGGGAGCGUAGACGGUUUGGCAAGUCUGAAGUGAAAUGCGGGGGCUCAACUCCUGAACUGCUUUGGAAACUGUCGAACUAGAGUGCAGGAGAGGUAAGUGGAAUUCCUAGUGUAGCGGUGAAAUGCGUAGAUAUUAGGAGGAACACCAGUGGCGAAGGCGGCUUACUGGACUGUAACUGACGUUGAGGCUCGAAAGCGUGGGGAGCAAACAGGAUUAGAUACCCUGGUA